CAAUGAUCAGAUGAAUAGCUGAUCGCCCGCUUUGAUUCCCUGUGUUCCAUUGCAUCUGCUGAUGUGCCAUCUCCCACUCAAGUUCCUGCCCCAGUGGUCGAGCCUCCACAGACUCGUGCUCCUGCUUUCCUGCCAUCAUCUGUUGCUUGCCUAUCCAGACCAGAGGGAUUUUCCAGUGACUCCAACAACUGCCGUGCCUUCCUGGAACAGUGUGGACUGCCUUUCCCACUGAACCUGGGUGGUAAAGCUGAAGUCUGGGCAAUGGUCGAGUGGGUCUGGGACUCCCCCAUCUUCUACUCAUUAGACCUCUUCACUAACACACUAAUAGAUAUUCGUCCACACCACUACGGGUCCAGAGGCAGUAUGAGCAAUUAGGACCUGCACCAGGGCCAUUGUCAGGCUACGCUUACCAUCUCCUCAUUUUGCACAGACCCCUGCUUCGCCAGUGCACCCUGCGGUCCGAGAGGAACCCAUUCAGCUGGGCCGUGUUCUACUCACCCCAGAGGAACAACAGUGCCGUUUUUGGGAGGGUCGAUGCGUUUACUGGUCCCUUCAUGGCAUCGUUUCCAGUAAAAGACUGGGCUCGCCAGUAAAGAGGAGGGCGCUAGUGAGCCGCACUACUUCCUCUGCAUUCCCUUGUCCUCCUCUCGCUCAUGUUGAGUUAAAUUCUGGAUAAGAGCUUUAUGAACUGGAGUUUGGCAAGGAAAUUGAAACUGCAGGUUGUUCCCCUGUCUGAAUCCCAGUAGGCCAACGCUUUGGAUGGCGUCUGCAAUGCAAAGUUAGUUGUAGCACUCAAUCUGCCAAUCUCCGUGUCGCCCAGGGGCAUAUGGAACAACUCAGUUUUCACCUGUUCAACUCUCCCAUGCACCCUCUCAUUCUGGUUCUCCCGUUGCUCAAAAGACACAAUCCCCAGAUCAAUUGGGCCACAGGCAAGGUAACGGGCUGAGGCGUCAACCUGUUCAUUUUCAAUGUGUUCCCAGGAGCCUGCCUGCCUGCUCCUGGGAAGCCUCUAGGAGCCUCUACCCCUGCACAAAAGGAAUUGGAGCCCCACGAAUCUUUGGACUCAGAUUUCCAUACGUCUCCAAGGUCCCUGCCAUGACCAAUGACCUCAAAGAGGUCUUUAGCAAGUCCCAAGCCACCCCUCUACCCCCUCACUGUGUGUGCAAUUAUGCUAUUGAUCUGCUUCCUUGUACAUCCCCUCCUAGAGGGUGCCUGUACUCUUUGUCAGCUACAGCUUUUGGACUAACUAAACCCUAGCAUGUGCUUCACGACAUGCUCAACCAAUUUGUCUCCGUUCACCCGGACUACAUCCUCAUCUUCCCUCUGGAUUAGCAAACCCACACACAGCAUGUCCGUAAGGUCCUACAAUGCCUCCUAGAUUGCCAGCUCUUUGUCAAGGCGGAAAAAUGCGAGUUUCGCAUCCCAUGAGUUUAAUUUCUAGGCUUCAUCGUCUCUCAGAACUGUACCCAGAUGGACCUAGCUAAGGUGAUCCACUUGGCUGAUGCCUGCCUCUUCGCCUGUCCUCCUGGGAUAAAGCUUACCAUCUGUCAUUAAGCAACGCUUUGGGUGGCCAUCCAUGGAGACAGAGGUCGAAGAAUACGUGGCAGCCUGCCCAGUGUGCACCUGGAACAAAACCUCCCGACACCAUCCCUCUGGUUUCUUGUGCCCUCCGGCUAUUCGCCAUCACCCUUGGUCUGACAUUUCCCUGGUCUUCGUCACUGGUCCACCACCAUCUGAAGCCAAAGAAACAGCUGAGGUCAUCCCAUGUUUUCCAUUGGGAUGGACUUCCUGGAGAUGUUGUGCCGGGGACCCAGAUUCAUCUCUCAAAUCUGAAAAGCGUUCUGCAUCUCUGCUCAGGGCCACAGUUAGCCUUUCCUCUGGAUAUUAUCCCCAAUCCGACGGACAAACAGAAUGAAUCAGGAGCUGGAAACCUGUCUCUUCUUCCUCACCCCCCCACAAACCCUCAUACUGGAGCAAACAUCUCAUUUGAGAUGAGUAUGCACACAACACAUUACCCUGGUACUGCCAUGUCUUGUUCUGCUUAUUAGGUCAUGUUUUGCCCUUUAGUUUUUAUCUCGUGUACUAUUUUCUGUUUUAUUUUGAUGGCAUUAACUCUCCCUCUCGUUUCAGAUUGACACUUCAUGACCUCGUUUGUCUCCAGCCUUUAUGAUUGUCUGACCCGCCCUCACGUGUUGCUCCUGAAUCCAAUUGUUUCCCCCUCUCCCAGUGUAUUUAGUCCCUGUGUUCCCUUCCCUCUGUGCCAGUCUCACUUUUUUUCUUUGUGACAAGCAUUCCAGCAAUCUCCCUGUUUUAGCAUUCCUGGUUUUUGUUAGUUUGCCAAGUCUCAGCCAUGUCUUUUGCCCAGUCCUUUUGGAAUCGUUUGCCUGGUCUAUCUGCCUUCAUAUGUACUGACCUGUUAUCUAGUAAAUAUGCUGAU
Molecule: long non-coding RNA, 2437 nt
Organism: Xiphias gladius (swordfish)
Lineage: Eukaryota; Metazoa; Chordata; Actinopteri; Istiophoriformes; Xiphiidae
Exons: 3
Source: RefSeq, a predicted model, not a curated record